UCAACUACGGAAACAACAACACAACCAUCGACUACGAAAACAACAACACAGUCACCGACUACUAAAACAGCAACACUAACAACGACUUCCAAAUCAGCAACAACAGAAAUGCACCUUGUAACAACUUGGAAAUGUGUAAAUAGUCCUUUUGUGAAUUGCGAUGUCUCAAACAUAUGUAGUACCAGUGCAUGGGCCCAUUACUG
RNAcentral lists this long non-coding RNA (203 nucleotides) under Mytilus galloprovincialis (Mediterranean mussel). Lineage: Eukaryota; Metazoa; Mollusca; Bivalvia; Mytilida; Mytilidae. The record is from RNAcentral.